GCAAUACUCAGGUCCACAAGGGCAAGGGGAAGAGCCACCUACUAAAGUUCAGAGAAGACUAGUUUAGCAGAAGGCCGUCUGACUCAACUGCAUCGUUAGAUGGAGGACACUACCCAUUGCCAAUCCUGCUGAUGCUUCCCACUGGCCAAAACACAAAGAAGACAGUGACGAAGGGAACCUGUAUGAUGCAAUCCAUGAAGGCAACCUGGUGGUUCUGCUCCCAGAAGUCACCAUAUUAAUGCUGAAUUCAGUGUGAACCUGAUCCGCAUAGUGCCCUGCAGCCCAGAGCUCUUGGAAUCAAGUGAUCUUCCUACCUGAGCUUCCUGAGUAGCUGGGACUACAGCAAUUUGAAGAAUGGAUCAUUGACUGAGAGAGUGAAGACUGAAAAGCAAGUCAAUGAUUUUGUUUCCACUUUUUUUUAACCACCGUCCACUAUAGACGCUCAAAAGGCUGCGUGGUGUUCCACCAAUCAGAUACAUCUGAUGUACAGGCCUUUGGCUUGGAAGGUAAAGACACAUGAAAGCAGCGAUCACAAGGAAUCCAGCUGUGGGCGAGCGCUGGCCCACCAGCACUCUCAGAGGCAGCAGCAGUGGUCCGCAGGACCCUGGCUGACUGUCCCUGGUGGUGUCCGUGGCAGUUCCAGCCCUGAUGUUCGACAUGCUUGCUGUUGGUUGUGUGAGCCAAAUGAAAUGCACAGCAGUGGCAACGCUGGUGUUUUCUUGACAACCUGCAGAGCAGUGAGAUUGAGGACUUUCUUUCUGGCAGUGUGGCUUGAGUCAUGUUCUUUAGUCCUGCUGGAGAUUGUGUGAGCCACUAACUGUCUUUUAAUGAAUUCUUUUUCUAUGUACAUUAACCAGGGUUGAUGAAUGUAUUUAGCAAAUAAAAUCUCUGAUGGAUGUA
Molecule: long non-coding RNA, 900 nt
Organism: Cavia porcellus (domestic guinea pig)
Lineage: Eukaryota; Metazoa; Chordata; Mammalia; Rodentia; Caviidae
Exons: 4
Source: RefSeq, a predicted model, not a curated record